AUACCUUUCUCGGCCUUUUGGCUAAGAUCAAGUGUAGUAUCUGUUCUUAUCAGUUUAAUAUCUGAUAUGUGAGUCAUCGACUCACACGAUAUUAACUCUAUUUUUUGAGGGGGAAGGUCCACCACGGUAGCUUGCUAUCGAGACCUUCAAGUCUCGCCUAGGUGUUGCACUACUGCCUUGGCCUGGCACACCCCAC
This 196-nucleotide small nuclear RNA is filed under the name Solanum tuberosum (potato). RNAcentral's name for it is "U2 snRNA". It matches the Rfam family "U2 spliceosomal RNA". From Rfam's summary of the family: U2 is a small nuclear RNA (snRNA) component of the spliceosome (involved in pre-mRNA splicing). Complementary binding between U2 snRNA (in an area lying towards the 5' end but 3' to hairpin I) and the branchpoint sequence (BPS) of the intron results the bulging out of an unpaired adenosine, on the BPS, which initiates a nucleophilic attack at the intronic 5' splice site, thus starting the first of two transesterification reactions that mediate splicing. Lineage: Eukaryota; Viridiplantae; Streptophyta; Magnoliopsida; Solanales; Solanaceae. The record is from RNAcentral.